GAUGAACGCUGGCGGCGUGCCUAAUACAUGCAAGUCGAACGCAUUGUGGUUGAAAUGAUAUGAAGAACUUGUUCAGGUUUGAUUUUCAACAUUGCAAUGAGUGGCGAACGGGUGAGUAACACGUGGGAAACCUACCUCUUAGCAGGGGAUAACAUUUGGAAACAAAUGCUAAUACCGUAUAAUAAUUAAAACCGCAUGGUUUUAGUUUAAAAGAUGGUCUUGCUAUCACUAAGAGAUGGUCCCGCGGUGUAUUAGUUAGUUGGUGAGGUAAUGGCUCACCAAGACAAUGAUACGUAGCCGAGUUGAGAGACUGACCGGCCACAAUGGGACUGAGACACGGCCCAUACUCCUACGGGAGGCAGCAGUAGGGAAUCUUCCACAAUGGACGAAAGUCUGAUGGAGCAACGCCGCGUGUGUGAUGAAGGGUUUCGGCUCGUAAAACACUGUUGUAAGAGAAGAAUGACAUUGAGAGUAACUGUUCAAUGUGUGACGGUAUCUUACC
This 502-nucleotide ribosomal RNA is filed under the name uncultured bacterium. RNAcentral describes it as "bacterial SSU rRNA". It matches the Rfam family "Bacterial small subunit ribosomal RNA", at positions 28 to 484 of the family's 1533-position model. The record is from RNAcentral.